Scophthalmus maximus (turbot) is the source of this 1173-nucleotide long non-coding RNA. RefSeq lists it as uncharacterized. NCBI's taxonomy places the organism in Eukaryota, Metazoa, Chordata, Actinopteri, Pleuronectiformes, Scophthalmidae. The transcript is spliced from 3 exons. The record is from RefSeq and is a predicted model, not a curated record.
AUUUUCUGUCACAGUGAAUCAAUCCACGAACAACCCCGCUCCGCUCCCGUCCCGUCACGUGUUUCUGUCCGCUGCUGCUCCGCGACCUUCUGUUGUCCCGCGACGUCAAGUGUACGUCUACUACAUCAACACUUCCGGUGGAGCUGUGGUUCCACACGGAUCAGCACCAGGACCAGGACCAGGACCUGGAUCAGUGUGUAGUUGUGUUGUGUGUGAAGUGGAGUUAAUCUACAUGUCCAGAGGGAGGAUGGAGGGAUGGAUGAUGGAGGGAUGGAGGGAUGACGGAGGGAUUGAGCCAGAACAUCAGAUUAUAAUCCUCUGAGGGAAUUCUGCUGCAGCAUCGUCGUCAACAGGACGAGGAAAGCGGAGGAGGGGAGGAAGUAGGAGGUUAGAUGAGGAGUUAGAGGAGGAGACGACGUUGAGUGUGUGUUUGUCCUAAAUGUGUUGAAUGUGCAGUUUUGUUUAUGAUGAAUUUUCUGCAGAAGCAAUUAAACACAAGUGAAAUGAAGAAAAUAAAAGAGCAGAUGGUAAUUUAUCCUGUAAUACAGAAUGUGUGUGUGUGUGUGUGUGUGUGUCUCUCCAGGGUAACUUGUACCUAAUUAAACUCCCAUAAUUUUAUGACAAUUGGAAAAACAUCAACAGACAAAAUGAGACGAUGAAUUAUGAGAAGAUUUUCUGUCUUUAAUGUCAGGACAUGAGCUUCUUUCAGAGAGGACAAGUGAGGACGAGCGAGGACGAAAGAGAUGAAGAGUGAGGACGAGUUACAGGAAGAGUGAGGACGAGUGAGGACAAGUGAGGACGAGAGAAGACGAAAGAGAUGAAGAGUGAGGAUGAGAGAGGACAACAGAGGAUGAGUGAGGACGGGAGAGGACGAGUUAGAGGAAGACUGAGGACGAAAGAGAUGAAGAGUGAGGAUGAGUGAGGACGAAAUAGGACGAGACAGGACGAAAGAGAUGAAGAGUGAGGACGAGAGAGGACAAGAGAGGAUGAGUGAGGACGAGAGAGGACGAGUUAGAGGACGAGAGAGGACGAGAGAGAUGAAGAGUAAGGACGAGUGAGGACGAGUGAGGAUGAAAGAGGACAAAUGAGGACGAAAGAGAUGAAGAGUAAGGACGAGUGAGGACGAAAGAGGACGAGAGAGGACGAAAGAGAUGAAGAGUGAGGACGAGAGAG